GGGCCUUGUGCCUAUAAACCAUAAUACAACUUUCAACAACGGAUCUCUUGGCUCUCGCAUCGAUGAAGAACGCAGCGAAAUGCGAUAAGUAAUGUGAAUUGCAGAAUUCAGUGAAUCAUCGAAUCUUUGAACGCACCUUGCGCCCCUUGGUAUUCCGAGGGGCAUGCCUGUUUGAGUGUCAUUAAAUUCUCAAACUCACUUUGGUUUUUUUCCAAUUGUGAUGUUUGGAUUGUUGGGGGCUGCUGGCCUUGACAGGUCGGCUCCUCUUAAAUGCAUUAGCAGGACUUCUCACUGCCUCUGCGCAUGAUGUGAUAAUUAUCACUCAUCAAUAGCACGCAUGAAUAGAGUCCAGCUCUCCAAUCGUCCGCAAGGACAAUUUGACAAUUUGACCUCAAAUCAGGUAGGACUACCCGCUGAACUUAAGCAUAUCAAUAAGCGGAGGAAAAGAAACUAACAAGGAUUCCCCUAGUAACUGCGAGUGAAGCGGGAAAAGCUCAAAUUUAAAAUCUGGUGGUAUUUGGCCAUCCGAGUUGUAAUCUAGAGAAGUGUUAUCCGCGCUGGACCGUGUACAAGUCCCCUGGAAUGGGGCGUCAUAGAGGGUGAGAAUCCCGUGUGUGACACGGACUACCAGGGCUUUGUGAUGCACUCUCAAAGAGUCGAGUUGUUUGGGAAUGCAGCUCAAAAUGGGUGGUAAAUUCCAUCUAAAGCUAAAUAUUGGCGAGAGACCGAUAGCGAACAAGUACCGUGAGGGAAAGAUGAAAAGAACUUUGGAAAGAGAGUUAAACAGUACGUGAAAUUGUUGAAAGGGAAA
This 811-nucleotide ribosomal RNA is filed under the name Agaricomycetes sp. Its description in RNAcentral is "eukaryotic LSU rRNA". The stretch from base 387 to 811 matches the Rfam family "Eukaryotic large subunit ribosomal RNA", at positions 1 to 419 of the family's 3401-position model. The record is from RNAcentral. Lineage: Eukaryota; Fungi; Basidiomycota; Agaricomycetes.